GAUGAACGCUGGCGGCGUGCCUAAUACAUGCCCGUCGAGCGAACAGAUAAGGAGCUUGCUCCUUUGACGUUAGCGGCGGACGGGUGAGUAACACGUGGGUAACCUACCUAUAAGACUGGGAUAACUUCGGGAAACCGGAGCUAAUACCGGAUAACAUUUGGAACCGCAUGGUUCUAAAGUGAAAGAUGGUUUUGCUAUCACUUAUAGAUGGACCCGCGCCGUAUUAGCUAGUUGGUAAGGUAACGGCUUACCAAGGCAACGAUACGUAGCCGACCUGAGAGGGUGAUCGGCCACACUGGAACUGAGACACGGUCCAGACUCCUACGGGAGGCAGCAGUAGGGAAUCUUCCGCAAUGGGCGAAAGCCUGACGGAGCAACGCCGCGUGAGUGAUGAAGGGUUUCGGCUCGUAAAACUCUGUUAUUAGGGAAGAACAAACGUGUAAGUAACUGUGCACGUCUUGACGGUACCUAAUCAGAAAGCCACGGCUAACUACGUG
RNAcentral lists this ribosomal RNA (497 nucleotides) under uncultured bacterium. RNAcentral describes it as "partial 16S ribosomal RNA". It matches the Rfam family "Bacterial small subunit ribosomal RNA", at positions 28 to 507 of the family's 1533-position model. The record is from RNAcentral.